RNAcentral lists this long non-coding RNA (510 nucleotides) under Callithrix jacchus (white-tufted-ear marmoset). Its description in RNAcentral is "lncRNA (ENSCJAG00000080676.1)". The record is from RNAcentral. Lineage: Eukaryota; Metazoa; Chordata; Mammalia; Primates; Cebidae.
CCUAAAUGAUUUUAAUAGUUAUUUUUCUUCUUUAAAGGUUAAGAUUUUCUUCUCAUGUCAAAAGUUCCUCCUUCGCUCAUCUACUUGAAACAAAAUCCACUCCAGUCAUUGCCUUUUGGAUUUGGGGUAAGGUUCACUUCAUUUUUCCUAGAAGGAACCCAUCACCCUGCCAACCCCAGCAUGUCCUCAAGGGCUGCUUCACCAUCCAGGAUGGCUACAGGAGCACCAGCCAUCAGGUUAUGAUUCCAAGCAGGAAACAGCAAGAAUGAAGAAAGGGGAAAAUGGUGGUUCUCCCAACAUCGACAACUCUUAAAACCCCACCCCAUGAUGUCUGCUUAUAUCUCACAGACCACUCUUGACUGAAGGAAACUUGAAAAUACAGUCUCAGGGUGACAUUCCUAAGAAAGAGAGGGAGGAUUAGUAGCAACUCUCAGUCUCUGCUGCAAACACACAUUAUGUUUUAACAAGGACGCUAAUGAGCUGGAUUACAUUUGUCCAACUCGCCAACUC